CGGGGGGGUAAGCGUUGUUCGGAAUUACUGGGCGUAAAGGGCUCGUAGGCGGCCAACUAAGUCAUACGUGAAAUCCCUCAGCUUAACUGGGGAACUGCGUCUGAUACUGGAUGGCUUGGAUUUGGGAGAGGGAUGCGGAAUUCCAGGUGUAGCGGUGAAAUGCGUAGAUAUCUGGAGGAACACCGGUGGCGAAGGCGGCAUCCUGGACCAAUAUUGACGCUGAGGAGCGAAAGCCAGGGGAGCAAACGGGAUUAGAUACCCCGGUAGUCCUGGCCCUAAACGAUGAAUGCUUGGUGUAGCGGGUAUCGAUCCCUGCUGUGCCGAAGCUAACGCAUUAAGCAUUCCGCCUGGGGAGUACGGUCGCAAGGCUG
Molecule: ribosomal RNA, 371 nt
Filed under: uncultured organism
Description: bacterial SSU rRNA
Rfam family: Bacterial small subunit ribosomal RNA
Source: RNAcentral